Molecule: long non-coding RNA, 289 nt
Filed under: Gossypium raimondii (Peruvian cotton)
Lineage: Eukaryota; Viridiplantae; Streptophyta; Magnoliopsida; Malvales; Malvaceae
Description: long non-coding RNA (GRAI_LNC010560)
Source: RNAcentral
GUGGCUCUGCUAGGGUUUUUUUAACCCGUUCUUCGUACCGCCACCAAGCCUCUGACCACGCCCCGAUUUCGACGGAGAGGGCACCAAAUUGACGACUCUGGCGACCAGGUAAGUUCCCCCUCUUUCUUUUAUGUUUUUUAAGCGAAAUAAAUAAAUAAAAUAAAAUGAAAAAAAUAAAAAUAAAAAAAACGAAACUAAGAAUGAAGAACACCAAAUGAAAAAAUCACCUUCUGUAUUAAAAAUUUUGUAUCUCUCUCGUAUCUUUCUCUAUUUUUUUCGUAUUUUCUUC